UUGUCACCUGGAGUUCUCCUCAAAUCACUUCAGUAGCUAGCUUCUGUCUCAUUGUUGCAUUGACACUAUUUGAUAAGCGUGCAGUGCGAGGAUAUACAGCUUUGUAUAGUGAAGUGUUUGGGAGAACUCUGGGUGGCAA
This 139-nucleotide microRNA precursor is filed under the name Triticum aestivum (bread wheat). Its description in RNAcentral is "mir-395 microRNA precursor family". It matches the Rfam family "mir-395 microRNA precursor family". Rfam says of the family: mir-395 was identified in both Arabidopsis thaliana and Oryza sativa computationally and was later experimentally verified. mir-395 is thought to target mRNAs coding for ATP sulphurylases. The mature sequence is excised from the 3' arm of the hairpin. The record is from Rfam by way of RNAcentral. RNAcentral also lists the same sequence under 1 other name. Lineage: Eukaryota; Viridiplantae; Streptophyta; Magnoliopsida; Poales; Poaceae.